UACAUAGGUUUCAAGCGUUGUUCGGAUUCAUUGGGCGUAAAGGGUGCGUAGGCGGCGCGGUAAGUCGGGUGUGAAAUCUCGGGGCUUAACUCCGAAACUGCAUUCGAUACUGCCGUGCUUGAGGACUGGAGAGGAGACUGGAAUUUACGGUGUAGCGGUGGAAUGCGUAGAUAUCGUAAGGAAGACCAGUGGCGAAGGCGGGUCUCUGGACAGUUCCUGACGCUGAGGCACGAAGGCCAGGGGAGCAAACGGG
This 253-nucleotide ribosomal RNA is filed under the name uncultured bacterium. Its description in RNAcentral is "partial 16S ribosomal RNA". It matches the Rfam family "Bacterial small subunit ribosomal RNA", at positions 524 to 776 of the family's 1533-position model. The record is from RNAcentral.